Cajanus cajan (pigeon pea) is the source of this 105-nucleotide non-coding RNA. The record is from Rfam. Lineage: Eukaryota; Viridiplantae; Streptophyta; Magnoliopsida; Fabales; Fabaceae.
CAGAAAAAUCUGUAAAGCUCAGGAGGGAUAGCGCCGCAACACACCAGGAUUUUUACAUCAUGAUGUAUUUGGCGCUAUCUAUCCUGAGUUUCACGGGUUCUUCUU